RNAcentral lists this unclassified non-coding RNA (214 nucleotides) under Ambispora callosa. RNAcentral describes it as "partial contains 5.8S ribosomal RNA and internal transcribed spacer 2". The stretch from base 1 to 71 matches the Rfam family "5.8S ribosomal RNA", at positions 84 to 154 of the family's 154-position model. Lineage: Eukaryota; Fungi; Glomeromycota; Glomeromycetes; Archaeosporales; Ambisporaceae. The record is from RNAcentral.
GUGAAUCAUCGAAUUUUUGAACGCAUAUUGCACUCUCUGGUAUUCCGGAGAGUAUGCCUAUUUGAGGGUCAUUUGAAAUAAUAUUAUUUCUAAGUUUUCUCGGUCUUUAAAUUGGGUUGUCUAUUUUUUGUGGUCGCCUUAAAUCCCAGACAAUCUCCUUUUCUUGGGUUGCUUGAUACUUUCAGUUACCUCGUGACUUAACCAGGAAUUAUCU